This 253-nucleotide ribosomal RNA is filed under the name uncultured bacterium. RNAcentral describes it as "partial 16S ribosomal RNA". It matches the Rfam family "Bacterial small subunit ribosomal RNA", at positions 524 to 776 of the family's 1533-position model. The record is from RNAcentral.
UACAGGGGGGGCAAGCGUUGUUCGGAAUUACUGGGCGUAAAGGGUCUGUAGGUGGCCAACUAAGUCAGACGUGAAAUCCCUCAGCUUAACUGGGGAACUGCGUCUGAUACUGGAUGGCUCGAGUGUGGGAGAGGAAUGCGGAAUUCCAGGUGUAGCGGUGAAAUGCGUAGAUAUCUGGAGGAACACCGGUGGCGAAGGCGGCAUUCUGGACCAUAACUGACACUGAGACGCGAAAGCGUGGGGAGCGAACAGG